Non-coding RNA from Caenorhabditis elegans, 140 nucleotides. NCBI's taxonomy places the organism in Eukaryota, Metazoa, Nematoda, Chromadorea, Rhabditida, Rhabditidae. The record is from Ensembl.
CGAGAAGUGAACGAAGUAGAAGAUGAGCAUGAAGAAGGGGGAAAAAGCAAGGAAAUGAGAUUUCUUCGCUUUUUCCUCUUUUUCCUUCUCCAUCUCUACAACUGCCAACAACACGACGACGCAGCUGACAAACAAUCUUU